RNAcentral lists this RNase P RNA (381 nucleotides) under Rhodophyticola porphyridii. RNAcentral describes it as "RNase P RNA component class A". It matches the Rfam family "Bacterial RNase P class A". Rfam says of the family: Ribonuclease P (RNase P) is a ubiquitous endoribonuclease, found in archaea, bacteria and eukarya as well as chloroplasts and mitochondria. Its best characterised activity is the generation of mature 5'-ends of tRNAs by cleaving the 5'-leader elements of precursor-tRNAs. Cellular RNase Ps are ribonucleoproteins. Lineage: Bacteria; Pseudomonadati; Pseudomonadota; Alphaproteobacteria; Rhodobacterales; Roseobacteraceae. RNAcentral also lists the same sequence under 1 other name. The record is from RNAcentral.
GCGGAGGGUCGGAUGGCCGCGGGGCCCGAGGCUCCGAGGAAAGUCCGGACUCCCUGAAGCAACGGUGCCGGGUAACGCCCGGGCGGAGCAAUCCGACGGAAAGCGCCACAGAAAACAAACCGCCGGUCGUUCGACCGGUAAGGGUGAAACGGUGGGGUAAGAGCCCACCGCGGGACGGGCAACCGGACCGGCACGGCAAGCCCCACCGGGAGCAAUGCCAAAUAGGGAUCUCGCGGGGCGGAUAACCCCAGGGCCGCUUCAGCCCGAGAGAUCCGGGUUGGCAGCUAAAGCCAGCGGGCGACCGCUGGCAUAGAGGAAUGGUCAUCCAUGGGCGGGGCAACCCGCCCUGGACAAAAUCCGGCUUACAGACCCUCCGCGCGG